UACGUAGGGUGCAAGCGUUGUCCGGAAUUAUUGGGCGUAAAGAGCUCGUAGGCGGUCUGUUGCGUCGGCUGUGAAAACCCGGGGCUCAACUCCGGGCCUGCAGCCGAUACGGGCAGACUAGAGUUCGGCAGGGGAGACUGGAAUUCCUGGUGUAGCGGUGAAAUGCGUAGAUAUCGAGAGGAACACCUGCGGCGAAGGCGGGUUGCUGGGCUGAUACUGACGCUGAGGCGCGAAAGCCAGGGGAGCGAACGGG
RNAcentral lists this ribosomal RNA (253 nucleotides) under uncultured bacterium. Its description in RNAcentral is "partial 16S ribosomal RNA". It matches the Rfam family "Bacterial small subunit ribosomal RNA", at positions 524 to 776 of the family's 1533-position model. The record is from RNAcentral.